This 331-nucleotide ribosomal RNA is filed under the name uncultured bacterium. RNAcentral describes it as "bacterial SSU rRNA". It matches the Rfam family "Bacterial small subunit ribosomal RNA", at positions 568 to 898 of the family's 1533-position model. The record is from RNAcentral.
CAUGUAGGCGGUCUGCUAAGUUCGGGGUGACAGUCACCAGCUUAACUGGUGAAGUGUUUCGAAAACUGGCUGACUUGAGAACGAGAGAGGGACAUGGAAUUCCGGGUGGAGCAGUGAAAUGCGUAGAGAUCCGGAGGAACACCAAAGGCGAAGGCAGUGUCCUGGCUCGUUUCUGACGCUGAGGUGCGAAAGCCAGGGGAGCGAACGGGAUUAGAUACCCCGGUAGUCCUGGCCGUAAACGAUGACCACUAGGCGUGGGAGGGAUCGACCCUUCCGUGCCGUAGUCAACACAUUAAGUGGUCCGCCUGGGGAGUACGGUCGCAAGACUAAA